AUGCGAUAAGUAAUGUGAAUUGCAGAAUUCAGUGAAUCAUCGAAUCUUUGAACGCACAUUGCGCUCUUUGGUAUUCCGGAGAGCAUGCCUGUUUGAGAAUCAGUAAAUCUAUCAACCGCUUUAUUGCGGUUGGAUAUGGGUCCUUUGAGACUUCACAGCCUCAAUGACCUGAAAUGAAAUGUUACGCAUCCUUGGACUAACAGUUCUUGGGCAUACGCAUGAAUGAGGCAACUCACAAGUACGUCUGUUCUCAUGGAAUUGUCGGUUUGAUUGGACUGGGUAACUCAACUAUUAUCCAGAGUUGGACGACGUCAGUCAGCCUUCUUUGAACACUUGGUCUCAAAUCAGGUAGGAAAACCCGCUGAACUUAA
This 371-nucleotide unclassified non-coding RNA is filed under the name uncultured Rhizophlyctis. RNAcentral's name for it is "partial contains 5.8S ribosomal RNA, internal transcribed spacer 2, and large subunit ribosomal RNA". The stretch from base 1 to 102 matches the Rfam family "5.8S ribosomal RNA", at positions 53 to 154 of the family's 154-position model. The record is from RNAcentral. Lineage: Eukaryota; Fungi; Chytridiomycota; Chytridiomycetes; Spizellomycetales; Spizellomycetaceae.